RNAcentral lists this ribosomal RNA (709 nucleotides) under Priestia megaterium. RNAcentral's name for it is "bacterial SSU rRNA". It matches the Rfam family "Bacterial small subunit ribosomal RNA", at positions 50 to 741 of the family's 1533-position model. The record is from RNAcentral. Lineage: Bacteria; Bacillati; Bacillota; Bacilli; Caryophanales; Bacillaceae.
UAUACAUGCAGUCGAGCGAACUGAUUAGAAGCUUGCUUCUAUGACGUUAGCGGCGGACGGGUGAGUAACACGUGGGCAACCUGCCUGUAAGACUGGGAUAACUUCGGGAAACCGAAGCUAAUACCGGAUAGGAUCUUCUCCUUCAUGGGAGAUGAUUGAAAGAUGGUUUCGGCUAUCACUUACAGAUGGGCCCGCGGUGCAUUAGCUAGUUGGUGAGGUAACGGCUCACCAAGGCAACGAUGCAUAGCCGACCUGAGAGGGUGAUCGGCCACACUGGGACUGAGACACGGCCCAGACUCCUACGGGAGGCAGCAGUAGGGAAUCUUCCGCAAUGGACGAAAGUCUGACGGAGCAACGCCGCGUGAGUGAUGAAGGCUUUCGGGUCGUAAAACUCUGUUGUUAGGGAAGAACAAGUACAAGAGUAACUGCUUGUACCUUGACGGUACCUAACCAGAAAGCCACGGCUAACUACGUGCCAGCAGCCGCGGUAAUACGUAGGUGGCAAGCGUUAUCCGGAAUUAUUGGGCGUAAAGCGCGCGCAGGCGGUUUCUUAAGUCUGAUGUGAAAGCCCACGGCUCAACCGUGGAGGGUCAUUGGAAACUGGGGAACUUGAGUGCAGAAGAGAAAAGCGGAAUUCCACGUGUAGCGGUGAAAUGCGUAGAGAUGUGGAGGAACACCAGUGGCGAAGGCGGCUUUUUGGUCUGUAACU